Molecule: ribosomal RNA, 388 nt
Filed under: uncultured bacterium
Lineage: Bacteria
Description: bacterial SSU rRNA
Rfam family: Bacterial small subunit ribosomal RNA
Source: RNAcentral
AACUAACGCUGGCGGCGCGUCUUAAACAUGCAAGUCGAGCGGUAAGGCCCGCAAGGGUACACGAGCGGCAAACGGGUGAGUAACACGUAGGUAAUCUUCCCUUCAGUGGGGGACAACCUGCCGAAAGGCAGGCUAAUACCCCAUAUUUCCAGUCCUUCCACGGUGGGAUUGUAGAAAGCAGCAAUGCGCUGAAGGAUGAGCCUGCGGCUGAUUAGCUUGUUGGCGGGGUAACGGCCCACCAAGGCGACGAUCAGUAGCCGGCCUGAGAGGGUGUCCGGCCACACUGGGACUGAGACACGGCCCAGACUCCUACGGGAGGCAGCAGUUAAGAAUCUUGCGCAAUGGGCGCAAGCCUGACGCAGCGACGCCGCGUGCGCGAUGAAGGCCU